This 1569-nucleotide long non-coding RNA is filed under the name Mytilus galloprovincialis (Mediterranean mussel). The record is from RNAcentral. Lineage: Eukaryota; Metazoa; Mollusca; Bivalvia; Mytilida; Mytilidae.
GAUCCUCCUAAGAUAUUAGGUCCUCCGUUACCAUCAAUAAGUACAGCUGGAGGAUCUCACAAUUUUACAUGCAGAGCUACCGGGCAUCCUGUUCCCGUUAUUUCAUGGACUUUCGAUUCGGUAUUAUGUAUAGUAUACACAAUAAUUGAAUUGAUAACAAUAACUUGAGAAGGCAGCUCAUAUAUGAAUAAUGUUUUAAAAUACACUAUACUCAGUGUCUAUCAUCUUCUGUAUGUUUUUCUAUAGGUUUAGAUUUCAUAAUAUACAUCAGUAGAUUAUACAUGAAAGCUCAUUUACAUAGUCAUAGCUUUUUUGGCGCUUACAUGUACUUAAAGUCGAUUUAGUUUCUGCUGUGUGGUAUGUGCAACCUUUGUGAGUACAUACAUUAUUCAUUAUUCUUGUGAAAAUUGUCCACAAAUUAAAUGCGUUUCGAUUAGAAAAUAACAAAAUAGAUAAAAAUCAGAGAAAAAAAAGCCAGCACCUUCAAUUUGUGUCAUUGCAAGUUAUUAAAGUUGUAGACAUAUUUAUAAAAAAAUUAUGCCCAAAUUUAAACGUAAAGUCAAUGGGUUGUCUUCAUUUUACUCUUCGUGUAUUUAAAGUUCACUCGUAUUCCCACUGGCUUACCCCGACAUGUUACCUUUGAAAAUGGAGCUGUAUUAAAACUAGUAAAUAUGCAGGAUUCUGGUCAGUUGACCUGCACGGCAGAAAAUGAGUUUGGAUCAGACACAAAGUCAGCCAAUGUUAUUGUCAAACAUUGUAAGUUUAAGCUUUGUAACGAAAACAAAUGUUACUCGUUGUUCACUUAUUUAUGGUAAGGGCUUAAUAAAUUGAUCGUGUUCAUUUAAGUAUGUCUGUGUGUUUGUAUUUUCUAUUAGAAUAUGACUGACUAUACGUAUGCUGAAUAGAAAUUGAUAAAAAAUUAUGAAUAUAUUAUAUGAAUAAUUAUUGUAGUCUUGAAUAGUAAUUUUUAUUUGAGCAACAGUUGAACUAUAAGUAUUGAAAAGUCAGGAUAAAUCUUUCAGUAUAUCUUUUGGACUUACAAUAGAACGCAGUUACAUUAGUACCGUUAUGAAUCUGUUCAUGUUAAUCCGUAUGUUCUUUGUGUGGGAAUGUAAAAAAAUAAAAAAAAUAGCCUAAACAUAGAUUCAAAAGAUCUUAAGUGAUUGCAAGCAAAGUGUCUAAACAGUAUUAAAUCAACCAAAGCAGAUAGUUCUGCAAAUAGAAUGAAAGACUAAAAAAUUGCUCAGAUGAAUAUAAAAUUGAAAAUGUUCCAAUAGUAGAUGGUAGUAAGGGGUUUCACUAAUUUAAAUAGUGAUAUUUAUGAUACUACAAAUACUUUUAUUAAUAAUGAUUGAUUGAUUGGUUGGUGUGUUACUUUAAGUAGCAAAUACUUCAUGUAUUUUAACAUGUUAAUGGACGACUGAUAAUAAAACAUUUGUAAAAAAUAUAAGAAUAAUAAAAAAUAAACAAGGUAAAAAAUAUCAUGAAAUGGAAACAAUAUACUUUUUAUUUUAUUUUACAGCAACAGCAGUGAUUGGAUAAAUCAAGACAAUAUCAUUCCUUAGAAAG